RNAcentral lists this long non-coding RNA (35848 nucleotides) under Zostera marina. RNAcentral's name for it is "long non-coding RNA (ZMAR_LNC004034)". The record is from RNAcentral. Lineage: Eukaryota; Viridiplantae; Streptophyta; Magnoliopsida; Alismatales; Zosteraceae.
AGCACGCAGAUUCAGAGCAUACUUCCUGGCUCAUACAAUCAAAGUCUUAACAGAACAUCCGCUGCGCAGAAUCCUCCACAGGCCAGAUACUUCCGGAAGAUUAACGAAGUGGGCACUGGAGUUAAGCGAGUUCGAUGUAGAUUUUGUUCCUGCCACAGCCAUUAAAGGGCAAGCAGUCGCAGACUUUAUUGUAGACAUGACCCAGGAAAGCAAAGAAAAACCUUGGAUAGUAGAGGUUGAUGGCUCAAGCUGCAGUACAGGUGCAGGAGUGGGAAUAAAGUUAAUCACUCCAGACCAACGAAUAUAUGAACAUUCCAUCAGAUUACAGUUCUCAGCUACGAAUAAUAUAGCAGAAUACGAAGCUGUGAUCCAAGGAAUGAAAAUCCUCAGAAGGUUAGGGGCCUGUUCAGUAAUUAUUAGAACAGAUUCUCAAUUAGUGGCUCGGCAAUUCACAGGAGAGUUCACUGUUAAAGAACCUCUAAUUGUACAGUACGCAGCCACACUGGAAAAAAUUAAAGAACAAUUUACUAAGGUUGAAGUAGAACAGAUACCAAGGAGUCAAAAUAACUCAGCUGAUGCCCUAGCAAAGCUAGCUUCUGCUUUCGAGGGGGGGCAGAGAGAGAUACUAGUUGACUCAGCAUCUACACCUUCAUGUAACCUAGUCACGAUCCAGGCAGAAGACUGGAGGAAGCCCUUGAUAGAAUACUUCGAGGGACAGAAACUUCCUGAAAAUAAAAAUGAAAGACGCAAGUUACAAACACGCGUUUCAAGAUUCUGCCUAAUCGGUGAAAUUCUGUAUAAGAAAUCCUACGACGGACCUCUAAUGAAAUGUGUCUCAACAGAAGAGGGACAAUUCAUUGUAGAGGAGAUUCAUCAAGGAGUAUGCGGAAUACAUCAAGGGGGAAGAUCUUUGGCCCAAAGAAUAAUAAGGCAAGGAUACUUCUGGCCCACACUAAAAAGAGAUGCAGUCCUAUUUGCAAGAAAAUGCAAGGCCUGUCAAAUACACAAGAACAUACAGAGAAAUCCCGCAACUCAGCUAACAGGGGUAGAAAGCCCCAUCCCCUUCGCAAUGUGGGGAUUAGAUAUUGUGGGACCAUUUCCAGUAUCGACAGGCCAAGCUAAAUUUAUAUUUGUGGCUGUCGACUACUUUACUAAAUGGGUCGAGGCAUUGGCUGUACCCAAGAUAACUCAAGGAGCAGCAACGAAAUUUGUCUUCAAGUGCAUAAUGUGCAGAUUCGGUGUUCCAAUGCAUAUAGUGAUAGAUAACGGUACACAGUUUACCGGUGGGGAGUUUACGAGAUUGUGCGAGAACAUGGGCACUAGAAUCCAUUUUUCAUCGGUAUACAGACCACAGGGUAAUGGGCAAGUAGAAGUCACAAACAGAGCCAUCGUUCAGGGACUGAAGAAAAAAGUCGAACAGGCCAAAGGUUCGUGGGCAUAUCUACUACCAGAGAUCCUGUGGGCGUAUAGAACCACUGAAAAGACACCCACCGGAGAAACCCCGUUCUCACUAGCAUAUGGAAUGGAAGCACUAAUCCCAACAGAGCUAAGCAUUCCAACAGUCAGAGUGUUAUCUUAUGACAUGGAAGAAAACGUGAGAUCAUGUGCGAUAACUCUGAACUUAGUGGAUGAGCUAAGGGACAAUGCACAGGCAAAGAAUGCAGCUUACAAACAAAGUAUCGCUAGAUACCACGACAAGAAUGUCAAGAGUAAAGCGAUAAGAAAAGGAAGUCUAGUAUGGAGAAGAGCGAGUGUCGGUAGAAAAGACUGCUCUAAAGGUAAACUAGGCGCAAAUUGGGAAGGACCAUAUGUGGUGGAGGAAGAACUCCGACCAGGCACGUACAAGUUAAAGCGGGAAGAUGGAACAGGCAUUCCUAAUACUUGGCACGCAGAUAACCUACAGUUGUACUUUUGAACAAUUGAGUAGGAUUAUAAUUACUCUAAUAGUUUGAACUAUGUAACUAAUACGUUAUUUCGUUAACUAUCAGAACACUUGAACAUACAACAGUUAACUAUCGUUAACUAUCAGAACACUCAGAAAACAUUCCAUAUAUUGAUUAAACAUGAAUUGCAAAGGAAUGUAAAUUACAAGAUAGAGGAGCUAAUCUAUUUUAGGAGGAGGGGAUGCAUCCUUAGGACCCUUUGCAUCGUUGUUAUCUUGAUCUUCAACGGAGAAAUCUUUAUCAACAUCAGCAAGCGCCUUUAGAACCCCCUCUUCUUCUUCAUCCUCCUCAUCCUCUUCUUCCGCAAGCGCCCGAUUUCGAACUUCAGUAGCUUCCUUGGGGUACUUGCGGGCCCAGUCAUGGACAUUUGCAGCCUCGAAACCAGGGCAAACAUGAGGUCCCAGGUCAACCAAGUCAUUAUAAUCUUGCACGUUGACAAGAUAGUCAGCCUGGAGUGUCUCCAAAUGGUUGACCACACGUUGAAGCUCUUCAGUUGCAAGUCGAGCUUCCUCAGUUGCGCGUUGAGCUUCCGCAACUGCUCGGUUGACCACCUCAGUCUUUGCUUGGUCCGCUUCUUCCAGUCGCAUUAUUGUUUUCUUGUAUUCAUCCUGCGACUCCAGCAGCUUCUUGUUCUCCUCAUGACUCUCACCCAGUCGGUCGGAGAAUAUGGAGUUCUGUGUCCGACAGGUGUUAAGAUUCUCCCCAAUAUUCUCGAGCUGAAGGUCAAGACCAGCAAUUAUCGACUCUUUAACAAUGAUCUUGGCACGUUCAGCUGUGAGUUCCAACCUUGCAGCCCCCAACUCUCCCUUAACUUGGGAGAGUUCCUGCUCCUUUUCCCUCAGAGAACUCCUUUGAGCGGCCCAAUCCGCAGACAACUUCUUAUUGGUUUCAGAGAGAGUUGAAGCGUCUGUAAUUUUCUGUGCAACCUCACCUUCCAGAUCUCGGCAUCGGCGCUUCGCUCUCUUCAACUCGUCUUCCGUAGACUGAGAGUCACGAAGACGAGACAGGGAAGAGAUACGGCCCUGGAACAAAUGGUUGAGCUGCAAAAAGAAAGAAUGGGUAAGGACACGCUCAUAAAAAUAACUAAGAAAUAAAGAACACUCACGUUGCUCAAGUUCUGUCCGAUUUCCUCGACUAUCCGGUCCAUCGGAUACCCAGAGAUAGCCCGCAGUGUGGUUCGGGUGGCAUCCGUGUCAGGGGUCAGGGGAAGUUUGGACCCAUAGUUCCGGGGAUGCGAACCUUGAUACCCCGGCAGUUGCGUCUCCCGGGUGGAAGAAUAAUUGAAGCAGCCCCGGGAGGACUCCCCAGGAUAAUAAUUCUUGCGAAGAGGAGCUCGUCGCCUGGGGGAGUGUCUCCUCGACUUCCUUGGAGGAGAUGAGUGGGUCCGGGGAGGAGGAGUCCGUUCUUUUCUUUUUCUCCUCUCAGAGACCUCUUGCUCUGUAGUUUUUUCAGUCCGCUUAGACUGAAUCUCCUUUUCCGCAGCCUUCUCCGCUUUCUCUCGCUCUUCUUCUGACGGAGUACGGAAGAAGUGAGAGAGCCUCGAACCAGCAGGAGACUGCCCAGGAGUAGUGUCUUUAGGCACCUCCGGAGGUACCUCCCCUUCCUCAGUUCGUGGGACUUCGUUAGGAGGAGUAGGGGAACGCGCCAUAGAAUAGGAAUUCUCCAGAGCACGCUGCCUCAGAUGAUCAGCAUCAGAGGGCUUGGAGGCAGCUGCGUAAACCUUGGAGCCCGUUUCGUUUUGCCCAACGCGUUCAGGGACACCUCCAGGGUUGUGCAUAUAAAAAUCUGCAAAGAAUAAAAACAGAGUUAGAAAAUAUAUAUGUAUAUAUAAAACAUAAAAAGGAAAACAGGCAAAGGAAGACCUUGUCGGUUAAAAGUAUCUUCAAUCGCGUGACCGACAGGCACAGCGAUAGGAUGCAAAAAGGCCAGCUUUUGCACGGAAGCUCCCUCAUCCUCAGUCAGAUCAGGACGAGGAAUGGGUUUACGGCCACUAGUGGAUGCAGGAAGAAGUCUGCUACCGGGGCAUAACCUGCAAUCCACAAAAAUGAACUCACUCUUGCUCCGUCUGGUCGGAGGAUCUUUCAAGAGGGCAGAGUGAGUAAUAGAGGUAGCACGGCUGGCACAUGCAAUAAAAGGGCUGCCCUUCUUCGGAUUUUGGAAUGUGAAGAAGUGGAAGAACAGCCGAGCAGUGGGGACUAUGCCAGCAUCCCUAAGGAUAUUAAUAAAUCCCCGGACAUAAAAGAAGAAGGCAGCACCCAUCUGAGAUAUACACAACCCAGAAUACAAGAGUAUUUCACUAACUAGGGAAGGAAUCGGAAGGAUUGGAAAGUUAGUGAAAUAAAUACGGUGAAGUGCCAGCAUGAAAUAGGGAGGCACGUCACCAGUAUUCUCAGAGGGGUACGCCCAGUACACUCUCUUUCUAAGCUCCAACCCCCUCAGAAUUCUUUUGGCGGCAUCCAUGGAAAGGGUGUUGGAGCAGCUACCCGCAUUGGAGGAAAGUGGGUAGCCUGGAAUAUCAGUCAGAGAGACUGCACAGAAGGAACCAUAUCCAGUCCCGUACUCGCCCCGGUCAAGGAUAGGGACGACGUGAAAACCGUUACGAACAAGAACGGACCACUGACGCCAAGAACCAUCGAUCUCCCGAUAGAAGGAUGGGGCGUGCUUCUCUUCAAGGGGAGAAGGAAAGGGGUAUUUGUCCCUCGUCUCAGGGGGGUAACCCAAUGGGGAACUCUCGAGAACAUGAAUGUUUUGACUACAGACUUCGGGAGGAAGUUGAAUAGAACUAUCUGUAGUCACGGAUAAAACCCCCGAAGUAGGAGUCUCCUCAGGAAUGGAAGUCAAAAUGACAGUACGAGGAGGAGUCCUUACAACGGAGGGAGGGGUUCCUCCAAUAUCUACAUCCUCCGAGGAAGAAGAGUAAUAAGAGGAGGAACCCGAACUUCCCGAGCUAGGGGUAGAAGACCCCGAGCUGGAACGUAUGGGGGAAGAGUGGGGAGCACCUACAAACAAAAAAAAGAAACAAAUAAAGAGUAAGUUACGAAGUAAAUAAUAAAUAAGUAACUUACUAGGAGGUACGGGCUUGCGCGUACGACGAGAAAGAGUCUUUUUCUUACUUCCAAUAGGCACGGAAGGUGAGGGUCUAGGCUCCGGUACGACAGGAGCGGCCUGAACAGACUCCGGUUCAGCAGAAGGAUUCUGAACCUCGAUUUCAGGGACCUGAGGAGCAUCUUUCUGCGAGUUUUUGUCAGAAGACAUUAUAAAACCUGCACGAAGAACAAAACAGUCAGGCCAAGUUAAGGCAAAAGUCGAUCCCAAGAAAAGUCAACUUGGACUUAAGGGAAUCGAACUUGCAAUAUAAGGGAAGUCGAUCUCAGAAGUCGAUCCCAGAAAAGUCGACUCUCAGGAGACAAAGGUCUCAAGAAGUCGAUCACAGGAAAGUCGACUGUCAGGAAGUCGAUCCCAGUAAAAGGGGAUCCAACUUUGAAAAGUCGAUGACAAGGCGUCAGACCUCACAAAGUCGGACCACAGUCCAAUGGGGAACAACUUCGAAGAGGACCGACUUUCAGAAAAGUCGGACCCCAAGGAAGUCGAACCCAGUGCAGCCUCAGAAGAGCCCGACAACAAAAGUCGGACCCCAGAAAGCUGCACCUCCAAGGCUCAAGUCGAAGCCUCACGCACGCUGGAAGUCGAAGCGGAAGAAGCUGGAAGUCGAAGCGGAAGAGGCUGGAAGUCGAAGCGGGAAGUCGAUGCGAAGAAAGUCGAUGCCUCAGAGCGAUGGAAACAAGUGGAGAGGAAAUGAACUCCCUCCGCUAUUUAUAGGGGAAAGUCGAAGACGAACCGUCGCGGGCACUGUUCAUCCGGGUCGACCCGUUGGGCCAGGAAGCCCACGGGCCCGGCAGGCCCACGACGGCCCAGUCCAUGAAAAACCCUAAAAUCCGACUAGAUGGCAUCGACAUUUCAAGAAGAUCCAUCGACAUUCCAGAAAAACCAUCGACAUUCCGCAGAAAAUUGAGUUCGACAUUCCCAGGAAAAGGGGAUAGGCGUCGACAUUUACAAAGGAAUUCGAUGCCUUCAAAAGAGAAGGCCAGGAUCGACAUUCCGCAGGAAAGCGUGUUCGACAUUCCCAGAAAAAAAGGGGAUAGGCGUCGACAUUUGGCAAGGAAGUCGACACCUUCAAAAGAGAAGGCCAGGAUCGACAUUCCACAGAAAAGCGAGUUCGACAUUCCCAGAAAAGGGGGAUAGGCGUCGACAUUUACCAAGGAAUUCGGUACCUUCAAAAGAGAAGGCCAGGAUCGACAUUCCGCAGGAAAGCGUGUUCGAUAUUCCCAGAAAAAAAAAGGGAUAGGCGUCGACAUUUGGCAAGGAAUUCGAAACCUUCAAAAGAGAAGGUCAGGAUCGACAUUCCACACUACCAAGAUCGACAUUCCGCAGAAAAGCGAGUUCGACAUUCCCAGAAAAGGGGGAUAGGCGUCGACAUUUACCAAGGAAUUCGGUACCUUCAAAAGAGAAGGCCAGGAUCGACAUUCCGCAGGAAAGCGUGUUCGACAUUCCCAGGAAAAAAAGGGGAUAGGCGUCGACAUUUGGCAAGGAAUUCGAAUCCUUCAAAAGAGAAGGGCAGGAUCGACAUUCCACACUACUCUGAUCGACAUCCUCAGAAAAAGGUGGGAUCGACAUUUUUAGGCAACAUCGACAUUUCCAGGGAGAAAUGAGAUCGACUUGUCAAAAAUCCGACACCUUUAGAAAAGGAUCAGCAGUCAUCGACUUCCUCAGAAAAAGGUGAAAUCGACAUUUUUAGGCAACAUCGACAUUUCCAGGGAGAAAUGAGAUCGACUUGUCAAAAAUCCGACACCUUUAGAAAAGGAUCAGCAGUCAUCGACUUCCUCAGAAAAAGGUGAAAUCGACAUUUUUUAGGCAACAUCGACAUUUCCAGGGAGAAAUGAGAUCGACUUGUCAAAAAUCCGACACCUUUAGAAAAGGAUCAGCAGUCAUCGACAUUUUUUAGGCAACAUCGACAUUUCCAGGGAGAAAUGAGAUCGACUUGUCAAAAAUCCGACACCUUUAGAAAAGGAUCAGCAGUCAUCGACUUCCUCAGAAAAAGGUGAAAUCGACAUUUUUUAGGCAACAUCGACAUUUCCAGGGAGAAAUGAGAUCGACUUGUCAAAAAUCCGACACCUUUAGAAAAGGAUCAGCAGUCAUCGACUUCCUCAGAAAAAGGUGAAAUCGACAUUUUUUAGGUGAUACAGUAUCCCGAACACGGUCACAACCUACCAGCAACUAGAAGUCCGGAUAGCCUAAGAUGAGUUGAGGUAUCUAUUCUAGGGUUGGGGAGGUCCCAGGUCGAAUCCUAGGAAGAUCGACUUUCCUGAGAAUCGACUUCCCUGGGAUCGACUUUUGAGUAAAGUCGAUCACCAGGAAAAGUCGACCCCCAGAAAGUCGAUCUCUGGAAAGUCGACCCCUUGACCCAAUCUGAUCAGUUAGGCAGUUAGGCGGUUACUGCCCAAAUGACCAGAUCACCCCCAUAAGAAUCCCUAUAAAUAGAGGGCACCCCCCACUCAUCAAAGGCAAGUCAGUUGGAGAAGAAGAAUUCCUAGCGAAGCAGAGCUCUGCGCACUUGAGUUCCGGUCCGGUUUCCCGCGGAGUUCCCCGCUUGGCGCUUGCUUGCGCGUCUUGGAGUACUGGUCGGGUUUCACCCCCAUCACUAGGAUAUUAGUUAAAUAAAGAGUCUAUUUGGUUUCCGCUAGUACUUUGAUUUUGUUGUAUACGUCCAUUCGGGCAUAUGGAUCUUGAUUGUAUGUUUAAUUAAAUUUGGGAAUAACCCUAUUUAAAUUAAAAAAAAUUCAGGUUAUUACACUUAGUAUCAGAGAGGAGGUUAGAUUGAGUGUCACCCCGGGGACUUGCUCGAUCUUCUCCUUUUGUCGUUCACCUCUAAAUCCCUAACUUCAAGGUUUGGGUUCCUUUAGGAUUUAACCCGAUGGUGGAUGGGAAUAGUUCGAGUCGAGUACCAUUCCAAGAACUGGCUCGACCCGCCCCUUUCGUUGUCCAUUCCUAAAUUCAUUUUCCUUAGGUCUCGUUGAUUUCCCUUUUACACUUUUCGUUAUUAGAUCCAAAGAAAACAUAACGUUGAAAUAAAAUUCGAAAUGUCAUUUAAAUCCUCGAGUAAUGAAACGGUUUGCAUUAGUAAAAAUCAAACUUUUAAAUCGACUAGGUUUUAGUUUAAUUUACCUCUCGUUCGUUAACUCAAACUUUGAAAACAAAACGCAGACCUUUAAAUUUACUCGACUACCACCCUGGAAUAGGCGGUAGGUCUAUAGAGUUGAGGCUUAACCUCAAUAACCAAUCCAAUUAUUCAGAAUCAUGUGGGUGUCUCAUUUGGGUGUCUAAGGCUUAAACGUGAGCUUCUAGCCCUAGGGCAGCGCAAAUCCUGAACUUGGAGACCUUGUGGAGCCCAGUCCACGAUUAUAGUCCCGUGUUCAUAAGGAUUUUUUUGCUGUCUAGUAAAUUAAUUUAAACAACAAAAAUCAGAAACCAAAACUCCAGAGAUUAUCUAGCAAUGAUACUGAAUAUCAGGUAGAAAAUCAGAAAACAAAAUCAGAAAAUCAGAAGAAGGAAAAAAAGAAAAACAGGAAACAGGAAAAACGGAAAAUAAAAAAAAUAAAAACAGAAAACAAACCGAAGAAAGAAAAAAAGAUAACUUUAACUUCCCUUGAACCAAAAAAAAACAAUCGAACAAAAACUUUGUUGUACGAAAACAGACCUCAAAUCCUCCAAUGGAGAUACAAUCCGUAAACCAAAAAUCAUUCAUAUCCUUACAUAAUUUCAUUUCAUUUUUAAUAAUAAUACUUCAUACUAAAAUUAUUAUAGUAGAAGGAUUGAAUAUAUCCACGUACUUUGAUCUCCUCUUAGUUUUUCUUCUAACACUUGCAAGCCUUAGCUGAAUCCUUCCUCUUCCUUCAAAUUUCCGUCCCCCCCCUUUUCUAUUUUUAACACCUUCUAUUUAAAGAUUUAACUCCCUCUUCAAUUUUGUCUAAAUCUUUCCUUUAUCUUUUCCUCAAUCAAUUAAGAAUAUCCUCUUUAAUUGAUUCUUUUGACCCAUUUGCCCCUAUUUUAAAAAUGUUUCAUUCCUUUAAUUUAAUUGACUAAUUUAACCUUAAAUUAAAAUCAAUUAAGAAUAUUUUUUUGACCUUAUUGCCCUUAUAUUUAAAAAAAAACGUUUUCUUAAUCUAAUUGACUAAUUUACCCUUACGUUGAAAUCUUAUUUAUGUUCUUAUUUAAUUAAACCAUUUAGAUUCAGCUCAAUUCGAAUAGGUCCCCUAUAUUUUAUUUACUUAAGUUCAGCCCAACUUAGGCCUUGCCCAUACUUGACUAACCUAAUUACUUAUUAAAUUUAAUUAGGCCUAGCCAAAUUGACCUUAACCCAAUCAGUUAGGCUGAGUUUCUCUAGUUCUGUCUUAUUUUAGCUAAAAUUUUCCAAUUCUGCUCCUGUAAUGAGGGUUUUCUUUUACUAUUAAGACCCCUAAUUUUUUCCGGAAUAUUACACUGACUCACUCAGUGCAUCAUAUAGAUCAUUCAUUGCUUUGGAGAUGUUGCUUCCCUUGAACUUAUCUAGAGCUUUCUAUUCUUCUUCCUUUGUGGUGGGGAUCUCGUAGUCUUCAGCCAUAAUUUUUCAUACUCUAUUAUUGAUUGACUUCAGAUGAUGUUUCAUCGUGUUUUUUCAGAAAUCAUAUAUACCUUGUACCAUCAAAGGACAGAGGUUUAUGAAAAGUGUUAUCAUGAUAUACGUCGGUCUGUGUCAUUGUAGUUGAUAGUAGUUGUUAAGUUGAUUUCAACGGUACUUGACUCUGAUACCAUUUGUUGGACCGUGAUCCGAGACUAUAAAGGGGUUAAUAGCCUUUUUUCGCGUCAUGCAGAUUUUAGCGAAAAUAUCUGCAAUAACACUUAAUAAUAACAAUAGCAAAAAUGAUAUUAUGUAAUUAUUAGCUUAGUUAAAAUUAAGAAGACUCUUAAGUACCUGAUGACAGGUCAAGGAAUUAAAUGUAAAUAACAUUGUGAACACCUGAUAACAGGUUGAAGACUUAAGUGUAAAUAACUUAAAAGUAAAUGACUUCUUGAAAGAAAAAUACAAAAGAUAACGAUUAGUAUGGUUAUCUUACUAAAGAUAUGGUGUUGAAUUCGCCAGUUGCGAAGAAACAAGAUCAUUUGAUCUUGGGUGUCAAGUCUAACGACAUCAAUGGUAUCAGAGGUGUUCGAUUGCGCUACCUCGCACGAUGCGUGGAAAAAUCUCUAGAUGUAAUUCAUAUUUUCUUUCCGAGCUCAAGUUCUGAGCAUUCGACAGAGAAAAAUCGAGAAAUUAUUGAUAUAGGAAAAAAUUCAGAUUAGAUAUAUAUAGGAAACGAUUCUCACCAUUGACUAAGAAUCCAUCGGUUGUAUUAUAUAUUUGUUUUUUAAUUGAUUUAAAAUAUAGAUCUCGAGAUAUUUCAUUGGAUGGAUGAGAUUUAAUUAUCUCAAACUGUCUCUGAUAGAUAUAUCAACAUGAGAUGCCAUAAGAUUAAUCAUUUUUAAUCUUGCGAUCAAUGGAUGAAAUGUAAUUAAAAAAUAUCAAAAAUCUUCAAUCUCAAGGUAUGUAGGAAUAUUAGUAUUUAACCUAACCCUAGAUAUAAUUUUACCAGAUAUCCAUAUUCAAAUUCAAAUAUUAAUCGUAAUUACAACACGUUUUAUGCAGAUAAUAAAAUUAUCUGAAUUUGUUUAGAUUUUUAAAUUCUAAUGAGAGAUGAUGAAAUAUCAUAUGAAAAAAUAGGAAGUGUCCACAUAUGCAAGGAAGAAAUACAAUACCUGCAAGAUCUGCGAGUAAAGCGCGACAAGGCCCUUGGGUGACAUUGUUUCCAACAUCUAGAAGCCAAAAUCCGGUGAUGAAUGCUUCGAUGGCCUUUGAUUUACGAUGUACGUUCACCGGAUCACCCAACCACGAACCUACCAAUAUCAGCACUGAAACUAACGAGAAACACAGAGAGCGCGAUAGCGAUGGUUCCACCGAUGAUGAAAGGUCUCCGACGACCAAGUUUACUUGUCGUGCGAUCACUCACAUGGCCGACCAAUGGUUGCACAAUAAGUCCGGAGAGCGGACCACAUAACCACACCAAACUCACAAAAACAUGAGGAACUCCUAGAUCUUGGACAUAAGGGGCCGGUAAGAAGGGAGAGUUGAAGUGCCCGUCCAAAUUGUACUCCACAUACGACGGAAGCCGUAAGAGCUCAAAAUCACUCUUCAAACGUCGUUGGUAAUCUUCGAGUACCAUGAUUUAGAUUUAUUUUUCUUUCACUUGACGACCAAAGUUGAAUACAAAAUUUUAAUUUAUGAUGGAAUUUAUUUAUAAGACUGUUAAAAAGACGUCAACCAAAUUAACUACUAAUUUUAUCUUCUUAAUCUAUCAAUAUAUGAUCAGAAUAAAGCCAAUGCUUUUGUGUCCAUUGUUUUUUCUUCUAAAUAUGCAUGUCGGACGAAGCAUAGUUUUUUGUGAAUAGAAUACAAAAUUUUUAAAUGUUUAGACAGACAGGUAUCAGAGCAUAUGGAUAUAUUAUCCUACAUAAUUCAUAUGGUAUCAGAGCAUAUGGAUUGAUCUUGGGAAGGUCCUGUCAAAUUGCAUCGAUCCAUCAUCUGCUAGUAGCGUUUUUUGGCCGAAUUCCGUUGUAGUACGAACAUGACGUACUACAAAAGCACUGAUAUAAAGAGCAAUGAGCUUCAGAUCGUAGACACUUCGACGAAAGUCGUGAUGGUUAAGAAUCUGAAACUAUUGCUCUAGUCACUUAAAUAUUCUUAAACUUCACUUAAAUAUUAGCUCUAGUCAUAGUAAUUAUUAAGGUUUCUGAGGAUUUCGAGUUGAGUUUUGAUGUUUAUGUAUUUUUAUUAAAUUUUUACAGUGUUGUAACUGAUGAUAUAUUACGUGAUUACCCUUUGUAAUAAAAAAAAAUAACUUCAAAGUUCAAACAUUUGUAAAUGAAUAAAAACCGAGUAUUAAGUUAAUUCUGCAAUAUUGAAAAUAGUUAUAAAAAAUAUCUUUGAUAAAAACAGAUUAAUUUUACUUCCUUUAGAAAUAUUAAAAAAAUCUAUUUUGAAAUAUAUAAAAAAUUAUUUAACGGCCGUAGAUAUGAAUUGAGAUUAUCGACACAAUCCCGCUGAUAAAAGCCGCAACAGCUCCUAUACUCAAUGAUCCCCAAUUUCCACCUCCAAACACCACAUCCAAAGGUCCACUCAAUACAGCUAUAGCCAUCUGAGGAAUCACAAUUGCCAAGUUCAAAAGACCUAGCGACAAGCCUGCACGCAUAAACUUACAAUAUCAAUCAAUUUUUAUCAUAUAAAAAGGAUAAGAUUCAUAUAAGAUAUUAAAUAUUAGAUAAUUAAAUUUUACCCAUCUAAUGAAAACCCUCGAGAUUGAUCAGUGUCAUAAAUCAAUUAAAAAACAAACAUAUAAUACAAUCAGUGGAUUCUUAUCCAACUAUUUCACAAAUUAAAAAGAGAAUCAAUGUGAAAAAGGAAAAGAAAAAGGAAAAAGUCGUACCUUGGCCAAUACCAAUUUCCUCAGACCUAAUGGAAACCAAUGCAUAAGGAACCGAAAAAGUAACAGCUAAUGGUGCUCCAAGCACUGCAAACACAAUCAAUGAAGCGACGAAUAUGCCAGUUGAAGGAUGUCCAUUGGUAUACUCUAUGUUUUCUGCCCAAAAUGAUAUAAGGACCAUGGAUCCAAACCUAGCUGCCAUGAUGAUGCUUGAGAUUCCCCAAACCAAACCCGACCCUAAUUUCGUGCAAAUCACAUCCAUAUUCCAUGAAAAAAAAUCAAGAACAAUUGAGUUCAACAUCAAACAAAAUGAUCCUGCCCUUACUCCAGCAGCAUAGAUACCACUGCCAUCUUCAGUAUUAGGGUUUCCUUUAAAAACCUCACGACCCAUCCAAUCGGUAUCGUAGAGAAUAAAAGGAAACCAACCAAACCAUGAGAGUGCAGUCACCAAGAAAAUUAUCCAAAUUGGAUUGUUCAUUAAUUUGAGAGUAUUCGCAAAUUCUUUGGAAAAUGAUGUUUGGUUAAUGCCUGCAACUUGAUGAGAUGCUUCUUCUUCUCCCCCCAACAACCUCUCUUGUUGCCUCUCCAAUGGUAUUUCAUGUGAUCUUGAAACACUCAAGUAUGUGGUGCACGCGAGAAUCACGAUGUGGAUCAGGAAAGCCGAUUUUAGAUUGGCGCAGUCGAUAUUACAGUAUUUUGUUCUGGUGAAGGGGAACAAUUUAUACCAUUUACCAUAAGUUCCAGUAGCAUAACCAAGAACAUUUCCCACUGCCAUAAAUAGAGAGAAAAAUCCAUUUCCAACCCUAGUCCUCCUUUCGUCCUUAUCUGUCAAAAAAAUUGUAAUUAUAUAUAAAUCCAAAAUAAUGUAGGAUAAAUAUGCCAUUUUUUAAUUUUAAUUAAAAUUAUUCGAAUUUUAUUGGCAGAAAACCAGAAAUAUCUAAAAAUCGAAAAAUUAUUGAUAUACGAAAAAAUUCAGAUUAAAUAUAUAUAGGAAACGAUUCUUAUUAUUGACUAAGAAUCCAUCGGUUGUAUUAUAUAUUUGUUUUUUAAUUGAUUUAUAAUACAGAUCUCGAGAUAUUUCAUUGGAUGGAUGAGAUUUAAUUAUCUCAAACUGUCUCUGAUAGAUAUAUCAACAUGAGAUACCAUAAGAUUAAUCAUUUUUAAUCUUGCGAUCAGAUCGAUGGAUGAAAUGUAAUUAAAAAAUAUCAAAAAUCUUCAAUCUCAAGGUAUGUAGGAAUAUUAGUAUUUAACCUAACCCUAGAUAUAAUUUUACCAGAUAUCCAUAUUUAAAUUCAAAUAUUAAUCGUAAUUACAACACGUUUUAUGCAGAUAAUAAAAUUAUCUGAAUUUGUUUAGAUUUUUAAAUUCUAAUGAGAGAUGAUGAAAUAUCAUAUGAAAAAAUAGGAAGUGUACAAUACCUGCAAGAUCUGCGAGUAAAGCGCGACAAGGCCCUUGGGUGACAUUGUUUCCAACAUCUAGAAGCCAAAAUCCGGUGAUGAAUGCUCCGAUGGCCUUUGAUUUACGAUGUGCGUUCACCGGAUCACCCAACCACCUACCGAUAUCAGCACUGAAACUAACGAGAAACACAGAGAGCGCGAUAGCGAUGGUUCCACCGAUGAUGAAAGGUCUCCGACGACCAAGUUUACUUGUCGUGCGAUCACUCACAUGGCCGACCAAUGGUUGCACAAUAAGUCCGGAGAGCGGACCACAUAACCACACCAAACUCACAAAAACAUGAGGAACUCCUAGAUCUUGGACAUAAGGGGCCGGUAAGAAAUGAGAGUUGAAGUGCCCGUCCAAAUUGUACUCCACAUACGACGGAAGCCGUAAGAGCUCAAAAUCACUCUUCAAACGUCGUUGGUAAUCUUCGAGUACCAUGAUUUAGAUUUAUUUUUCUUUCACUUGACGACCAAAGUUGAAUACAAAAUUUUAAUUUAUGAUGGAAUUUAUUUAUAGGACUGUUAAAAAGACGUCAACCAAAUUAACUACUAAUUUUAUCUUCUUAAUCUAUCAAUAUAUGAUCAGAAUAAAGCCAAUGCUUUUGUGUCCAUUGUUUUUUCUUCUAAAUAUGCAUGUCGGACGAAGCAUAGUUUUUUGUGAAUAGAAUACAAAAUUUUUAAAUGUUUAGACAGACAGGUAUCAGAGCAUAUGGAUAUAUUAUCCUACAUAAUUCAUAUGGUAUCAGAGCAUAUGGAUUGAUCUUGGGAAGGUCCUGUCAAAUUGCAUCGAUCCAUCAUCUGCUAGUAGCGUUUUUUGGCCGAAUUCCGUUGUAGUACGAACAUGACGUACUACAAAAGCACUGAUAUAAAGAGCAAUGAGCUUCAGAUCGUAGACACUUCGACGAAAGUCGUGAUGGUUAAGAAUCUGAAACUAUUGCUCUAGUCACUUAAAUAUUCUUAAACUUCACUUAAAUAUUAGCUCUAGUCAUAGUAAUUAUUAAGGUUUCUGAGGAUUUCGAGUUGAGUUUUGAUGUUUAUGUAUUUUUAUUAAAUUUUUACAGUGUUGUAACUGAUGAUAUAUUACGUGAUUACCCUUUGUAAUAAAAAAAAAUAACUUCAAAGUUCAAACAUUUGUAAAUGAAUAAAAACCGAGUAUUAAGUUAAUUCUGCAAUAUUGAAAAUAGUUAUAAAAAAUAUCUUUGAUAAAAACAGAUUAAUUUUACUUCCUUUAGAAAUAUUAAAAAAAUCUAUUUUGAAAUAUAUAAAAAAUUAUUUAACGGCCGUAGAUAUGAAUUGAGAUUAUCGACACAAUCCCGCUGAUAAAAGCCGCAACAGCUCCUAUACUCAAUGAUCCCCAAUUUCCACCUCCAAACACCACAUCCAAAGGUCCACUCAAUACAGCUAUAGCCAUCUGAGGAAUCACAAUUGCCAAGUUCAAAAGACCUAGCGACAAGCCUGCACGCAUAAACUUACAAUAUCAAUCAAUUUUUAUCAUAUAAAAAGGAUAAGAUUCAUAUAAGAUAUUAAAUAUUAGAUAAUUAAAUUUUACCCAUCUAAUGAAAACCCUCGAGAUUGAUCAGUGUCAUAAAUCAAUUAAAAAACAAACAUAUAAUACAAUCAGUGGAUUCUUAUCCAACUAUUUCACAAAUUAAAAAGAGAAUCAAUGUGAAAAAGGAAAAGAAAAAGGAAAAAGUCGUACCUUGGCCAAUACCAAUUUCCUCAGACCUAAUGGAAACCAAUGCAUAAGGAACCGAAAAAGUAACAGCUAAUGGUGCUCCAAGCACUGCAAACACAAUCAAUGAAGCGACGAAUAUGCCAGUUGAAGGAUGUCCAUUGGUAUACUCUAUGUUUUCUGCCCAAAAUGAUAUAAGGACCAUGGAUCCAAAACUAGCCGCCAUGAUGAUGCUUGAGAUUCCCCAAACCAAACCCGACCCUAAUUUCGUGCAAAUCGCAUCCAUAUUCCAUGAAAAAAAACCAAGAACAAUUGAGUUCAACAUCAAACCAAAUGAUCCUGCCCUUACUCCAGCAGCAUAGAUACCACUGCCAUCUUCAGUAUUAGGGUUUCCUUUAAAAACCUCACGACCCAUCCAAUCGGUAUCGUAGAGAAUAAAAGGAAACCAACCAAACCAUGAGAGUGCAGUCACCAAGAAAAUUAUCCAAAUUGGAUUGUUCAUUAAUUUGAGAGUAUUCGCAAAUUCUUUGGAAAAUGAUGUUUGGUUAAUGCCUGCAACUUGAUGAGAUGCUUCUUCUUCUCCCCCCAACAACCUCUCUUGUUGCCUCUCCAAUGGUAUUUCAUGUGAUCUUGAAACACUCAAGUAUGUGGUGCACGCGAGAAUCACGAUGUGGAUCAGGAAAGCCGAUUUUAGAUUGGCGCAGUCGAUAUUACAGUAUUUUGUUCUGGUGAAGGGGAACAAUUUAUACCAUUUACCAUAAGUUCCAGUAGCAUAACCAAGAACAUUUCCCACUGCCAUAAAUAGAGAGAAAAAUCCAUUUCCAACCCUAGUCCUCCUUUCGUCCUUAUCUGUCAAAAAAAUUGUAAUUAUAUAUAAAUCCAAAAUAAUGUAGGAUAAAUAUGCCAUUUUUUAAUUUUAAUUAAAAUUAUUCGAAUUUUAUUGGCAGAAAACCAGAAAUAUCUAAAAAUCGAAAAAUUAUUGAUAUACGAAAAAAUUCAGAUUAAAUAUAUAUAUGAAACGAUUCUUAUUAUUGACUAAGAAUCCAUCGGUUGUAUUAUAUAUUUGUUUUUUAAUUGAUUUAUAAUACAGAUCUCGAGAUAUUUCAUUGGAUGGAUGAGAUUUAAUUAUCUCACAAAAACAUGAGGAACCCCUAGAUCUUGGACAUAAGGGGUAAGAAGGGAGAGUUGAAGUGCCCAUCCAAAUUGGACUCCACAUGCGACAGAAGCCAUGAGUAAGAGCUCAAAAUCGCUCUUCGGACGCCGUUGGUAAUCUUCGAGUACCAUGACUUAGAUCUAUUUUUUUCCUUCCGACGACCAAAGUUGAAUGUAAAAUUCUAUUUUCUAUUGGAAUUUAUUUAAAGGACGGUUAAAAAAGACGUCAACAAAAUUAACUACUAAUUUUAUCUCCUAGAUCGUCAAUGCUUUUGUGUCCAUUGCUUUCUAUUUAAAUAUGGAACGCAAGAAUUUUAGAUGUGUAGUUAUGGUAUAUUAUGUAAUUUUGGCAUAUCAUCCCGAUAUAGAAAUUUUUAUAUCUUUUAAAAAGAUACCCUCAUUAUAUAAAAAGAUUAUUGUGUAUAAGUAUAAAAAGCGAAAAGAUUUAAAAAAAUUUUACAAUUAUUUAUCUGGUCAUUGUUUCCAAGGCGGAUCUCAAGACAAGACCGCCCACGGCCACGACCACGACCAGCCUCCCCCCUAAUUAAAGUUUUCUCAUUUUCGUUAAUGGACAUGAGAAAACCUUGAAAAAUUAUCAUCCUUGCCUCUUCUUUUGGUGACAGUUGAAGAAAUGCAAGAGAAGGAAGGAUUAAUGUAGAAACAGUAACAAAACCAUCCAUCAAAAACUCAAAUAUAGAGAGAAAAAUUAUCAUUUGUAAAUAGACUGUAAUGUAGAACAAAUGGAGGAUUGAUUAAAACAGUGAAUGAAUACAGAUAUAAGUUCAACAAUCAAACAUUAGUUGUCAAAAUUUUAGAAAUAAAUCUAAACAAACAAGUGCUCAAACUUACAUCAAUGAUACUGCCCCCCCUGUACAAAUUAAAGUAGUCCAAAGGAUAAUCUAAUCUAAAUUUAAACUUAAACAUGGUGUCAAUCAUAUGUCAUUAUCUUCCAUCUCAGUAUCUUCAGCCAUUAUAAUCUCUGAAUCCCUUAUAUCUUUCAUCAGUACAUUCCAAAGCCUAGAAAUAGCUCCAGUCUGCUGCUGCAAAACCUGAUUAAAAAACACAAGGCAAGGCUCACAUCACCAACCAUAAUUAACAAUCGAUAAUAAUUAGCAUAACCAUGUAUAUUAAUCUCCUUAGUUACCACCUCAUGCAAAUCAAAAAGACUUUGUUCGUCAAUUUUGGUAGAUCCGGGCAGACAGAUUGAACCACCAUCACCUGCAUUUGCACGUAUACGAGAAAUGGACAGCAGAUUGUGCACCCUUACAGAUAAUCCUGUUCUUGCACCUUUCAACUGGAAGGAAUUAUACAAAAAAUAGUUAUAUCCCUCCUCUCAAAGGAAUAGGAGGAUCAAUAAUAAAUUACACAUUUCAUUAACCUGUCUUGUAAUGGAAGCUGACUUCUCAACCAAUUCAGCUUCCCCUCUCAUGAGAGGUAAUCGAAGUCCUCUGCCUUCAAGAGUCUCUAUUAUUCUCAUUAACUUUUUUUUUGUACAAACAAAGUAACCUGGGCUGCCUCGUCACUAUAUGCUCUUCUAGUUUCCCAUGUAAGAAAGCAUUUCCAAUAUCAAUCUGAGUUAAUUUCUAGCCUUUUGAAUCAGCAAUUGUGAGAACCAUUCAAAUAGUGACUGGUUUCACAACUGGGCUGAAGGUUUCAUUAUAAUCCCUACUUUCAUAUACAAGAAUUCAUCGUGAUCAAUCCCUUUCCAGCACCUCCAGUCCCCGAUUCUGCAGAUUUCUCAUCCAUCGCAGCGGAACAGAUCGGAAUAGCCUGCAUUAGGGGAUACACCAGGAUUGAACUUCCCUCCCAACCAACUGAUACCAUAUAAGAAUUCAAGAGUAAAUAAGGGGAGAGAGAUCUCGAUUCCUUUUCAUUAGCUAUUGGUAGUCUUUUAUACACAAUUAGAAUAAAUAAUUCAAUUAUUCUUCUACACUAACUAGCUAAGGAAAUACAAAACGUGCCAUUCUAACUAUAUUUACACUAAUAGAAAACCAAUUAACCAUGCAUGUACUCAUCAAUUUUCAUCUUUUUAAGUCUAUGCCUUUUGGUUUUCAGAUGUUUUUAAUUUCUAUGCUACAUCAUUUUCUUCCAGGUAUUCUACUCAAGGAAGGCUUCUUUAAUACUUCAUAGUUUGCCUACUAUUAUAUAUCUUCUCCUUCCAUUCCUUUUGCAUUACCCAACAUUUUCAUUACAUUUGGCAUUUGUUACGUCAAUGGAUUUGGUGAAAGGUACGAUAUUUAUUAUUCCAAGUUAAAGCACUUAUGCAAUCAUACCAUAGAUAAAGGUUCAAUGUCUCAAUUUAUCUUUCACGUUGUUGAAAAUCAGAAACUACUAUUCUUGGUAGAAAACAUUGCCCAUCAUUUUCAUAAUAUAAACAUUUAAUUCUAUAAAAAAAGCGGUUGCAAGUAAAAGCUAUUAAGCGAUAGCUGAUCAGCCUCAACUCCUAAUCUGGAUGUGCACAGAGUGUGAUAGUGUAGAUUUUAACCAUAUGUGAAUAUACAUUGUGUUUUAAUAUAAAAAAUAACCCUUUAUAAAUAAAAAUAAAGACUUUGUUGUUAUAUAAAUAAUUAUAUGAAUAUAUUUCCAUGGAACUUAAUUUAUCUCAUGUCAGUAUAUUUAAAUCAUAGUUUUAAAAGCGCCGCUUUAAGCGUGUUUAAAGCGCUCUAAAGCUCUCUUGGAGAAGCGCUUUUCCAGAGCGGGUAAUCGAGCGGGUUCGGGUAAAGAACCACCCGAUUACCCAAUUACAUCUAUUAUUUAAUAAUAUUUUCACCUAAUAUACUUUUUUUUACCUAUUCUACCCCUCUAUUCUAACUUAAAUUAAAAACUCUUAUCCCACUUUUAGAUUUUAGUUUGAUUUAAUUGUAGAUUUGUAGUUAGAUUAAAUUUUACUUUUAUGAAUUAAAUCAUUAAUGUUCUAUUACAUGUGAUUUUAUACUUUUAUAAGGUAUUUUUAAUUUUCUAUAGGUUUUAUAUGUAUUUAUAUAAGAUGAUAUGUAUCUUUACAGGAUAUUACUAAAAUACCCCAGGCGCUUUAAGUGCUUUAAAGCACGCUUAAAGCUCCCAAAGCGAAAAAGCUCUUCCUGAAAAGUGGAAGCGCUUUUCGCUUUUUUGAACUAUGAUUUAAAUUGCAUUCAUGUGUUACGAUUUCAUUUCGAUCCCAUUAUCAAAAUUUAUGCUUGUCUUUAUUCAUAUCUGAUCAUUUCUAAUUUGGAUAGUUUAAAUCUCCUUUUCCUUAAUAUGUAAAUACCACAAUGUUCUGAUUAUUUCACAUUGAAAUUAUAUUCUAUUUCUUUAUUCAGGAACUAUUUUUCAUACACUUGGGAUCAUUCUUGCAAUAAUUGUUCCUGUUAUCUUUGCCAUAGUUCGAUUGCUCUUUUCAAACUUUGCAAUGACAUGGUAGGAAUUCUUUGAAUUUUUUUUUACGCAUUGCGUCUGGAAUAAUUAAUCAAAAUUCGUAAAUUUUCAUUAUUGUCAAGUACAGUCUGGUAAAAUAAAUCUAUAUUAUAUAAUACAUUUGUAUGCACACUACAGUCAUCCUUUCGCAGUUUAGACUUCGGAUCAUUUUGUUCAUGCAAUGCUCAUUUUUCUAUCUUCUUAGAUUAAGAUAAUUCGAUGCCUUGCAGGUUUGCAAAUCCAUUCUUAGGAUUUUUAAUGUUUAUUCCUUCUUCAAUAAUUGGUCUUUUGAUUCCAAGAACAGUAUUUGGAUUCUUUGCCAUUUCUCAAGAUGGCACAUCUCUUAAAAAGACUAGUAAGGUAUUGUAUUUAGUUUUGAACCUAAGGUUGUAUCGUUAAAAUUGAUUUGAUCAUCUUUAUUUUAUUAAUUUAUUAUUUCCAUUCAUCUUUGCUAAUACACAACAUUACUUCUAGUUAGGGGUAAGCAUGCACCCAGACCCGUCCCGUUGGGAGGGUGUCCGGGACGAAUUUUCCAUCCUAUCCGGCCAAAAACCAGACGGAGUCCGAGUUGGUAAAAAGGGAAAUUUUCCUUAUAUCUUGGAUGCCUGUAAAUGGUAUACCGAAAUCCGUAUUCGUAUCCGCUUUUGAAUUCGAAUAUGUUUAUUCGAAUUCGGAUAUCAAAAAUGAUAUCCGAAAAUUAUUCUGACGGAUUCGGAUAUCUGCAAUAUCCGCAGUUAAAAUCCGAAUUCGGUUAGUAAUUCCGGAUACGAAUAUCCGAAUAAAUAUAUAAAAAUAUUUAGUAAUGUUAUUAGUAAUUAAAAAUUAUUAUUUAUAAAGUUAAUUAACUUAUAUUGUUAUUUAGGAUUUUAGGGUGAUUUAAUACUUUAUUAAGGGUGAUUUUAUACUUUUAUAACUUUUUUAGGGUUUUCUAUAUAGAGUUAUCCGGAUUUUCCAGAUAUCCAGAAAUUUAUCCGAAUUCGGAUUCAAAUUUUCCUAUCAGGAUAUUAUCCGGAUUCGGAUACCAGGGUAUCCGAGCCGGCUCUCCCAACAAGGUGAGUCCAGGUCGGCCUUGUAUUCACCCCUACUUCUAGUAGUCGAUAUUUAUCGAUUUAAUGAUUUAUUAUGAGGUAUCGAGAUAUUUUGGGGUUAGGGUUUUACACAUUUAGUUCUGGAAUUCUGAUUUAAUUCUGGUAGGGUUUUACACAUUUAGUUUUACAUAUUUUCGGGGUGAUUUAAUUCUGGAAUUCUGGUUUCUGAUGAAUAAAUAAAUAAUACGUUCUUUUCUCAUUUUCUGUAGUAAAAAUAAAAUAUAAAUAAUAUUAAAGUGUGUGAAGUUGAAUUUGAAGAAAAGUAUAAUAUGUUAGAAAAGUAUUUUAAUUUUUUAUCAUAUUUAGAUUUUAAAAAUUUAAAGACUAAAUGGAUAUAAUGUUCAUGAAACUAACAAUUACAACAUUAACAAUAGUUCAAUACCCAAUUGAAGAAUGAGAUCAUAUAACUUACAAAAUAAAAGCUUCCCAUUAUAGCUUCUAAUCUUCAAAAGCUGUACUUAAACACAAGUGAUUUUUUAUGGUUUAGUUUGUACUUCCACCUUUUUUUGAUGAAGUAAAUAUUUUAUUACGUAAAAUAAAGAGGUGGUCAUGGCCCGAUACAAAUGUAGGGAAAUGAAAAUAGAUAUCAUUAUCACUUUCUUAUAUAGUUCCUAAGCGUUAAAUAGCUAUCAAAUGAUGCCUCCAUUGAAAAAUAGCUUGAGUUUCAAUCUGUGAUAGAUUUUCUUAUAGGAUGCAGCACUAUAUGUAAUGCACACCUCCCUUAGAAUGGCUCGUCACAAAGCAUGCUAUUUUAUCAAAAUGGCUCAGAAUGACUGUACUUUCCAUCUUAUCUAUUGAGGUCUAUGCAUUUUCUUUAGUAAAAUAUGUUGUCGAAUACUUGCGUUUUCUAAAAUUAUUUAGUUACUUAUUUUUUGUAGAAACUAUCAAAUGAAGCAUAUUUCUGGGGAGCUUUUAGCUUUUAUGGGUUUCUGACUCUGGUAAGCAUUUUGUCAGAACUGUUUAUUUUAAAAUUUUCAUCUUAGCAUUUCAAGUGUUAUUUCAUAUAUAGUUUAUUUGAAUGUUCUGUUUACCAUACUAUUUUCUCAAGGAUUAACAUACUAAGAUAAAUGUGUCAGGGUUUCUUUGUCGAAUCCUUGUGGCUUUUAUCUUUAUUUGAGCUUCUAUGUUUGGAUAUUUUUUGUAGUUCUUUAUAAAAUAAAUGGAAUUUCAUUAAAUUUACCAUUACCAUUUAUAAGAAAUGCCUUUUCAUUUUAAUAUAUUUUUAGGCAUUUCAAUAUUUCAUAGACGGUUUUUUGUAGUUCUUUAUAAAAUAAAUGGAAUUUCAUUAAAUUUACCAUUACCAUUUAUAAGAAAUGCCUUUUCAUUUUAAUAUAUUUUUAGGCAUUUCAAUAUUUCAUAGACAGUUUAAACUGCAGUGAAAUGGUUUGAGAAAUGAUUUUUCUAGUGAAAAUAUUUUCUCUAAGGGGAGAGAGAUCACAAAAGUGCCACCCACCAAUCCUCUAGCUGAUUUUUUGGGUUCAUCUUCUUGAAUCUUGAGAAUCACAAAAGUCAUAUGUCGUCGUCUCAUCCGUUUAUUGAAUACACAAGAACUGCCACUGAUCCUGUCUUUAUUUGUUAACUUUCAGUAUCUUGUAUCAUUAUGAUUAAGUUCUUGGUAUGUAUCAAAUUAUCUGAUUAGGUGUAUCUUUUAUCUGGACUGGGUGGAGGAUUCUUGGCUUAUAUUCUGUCAAUGUCAAUGGCUGUGGCAUGGUUCUUUUUUCGUAUGGCAUGCAAGCGUUUUGGAGAUCAAUCUAUCAAGUACUAUCUGUAAAUCUAAUGCCAUGUUUGUAUAAUUUUCUAUGCAUGUUUGUAUAAUGCCAUGGCCAAGAACCGUAAUUCAAUUAUGUUUCACUGGUGACUGGUUGUAAGAAGUAAGCACUAAGCAUAACUAUGUGCUUUAAGGAAUUCUGAUUUGCAUAUUUUGUAGAGCUUUAAAUUAUAAAAUUUAUGAUAUUUAUACUUUAAAUUUAGAAAUGAAUCCCAAAUACGGAAAUCACAUUUAAGUUUUUAUACUUUCUAAUCUUAAUUACUGUAAAAUUACAGCAAUACUUCCAUCUAAAAACACUAAAUAUAUUCCUUUACAUACUAGUAUUUUUAUUUUUCAUCCAUUAAUUAUCCUAUUUUUAUUACUGCACAGUCAAAUAUGAGGUCACUCAACAAUUUCUAGAGGCAAACCACAUACUUACUCGCCAUAAUUUACUUUGAAAACAUUUGAGAUCGCAUGCAUGACAAAAAAAUAUUUUUACAUAUUGCAUGGAAAGAAUUUUGAGGCCAUUUAUCCAGAGAAGUGACUUUCAUUAUGGUUAUUUUGACUACAGUUUUUUGAGCCAUAUGAAUUCAAAUUUGGCACACUUGCAUGUUUUUGUAUGUCAAUUAUAUUUUUCCAAUCAUGGACUAUUUUGGUGAUUGUAAUUUGCAGGUCAUUCGCUGCAUAUAUGAUACCUAUGGUCCCUGUCAUUAUUUAUGCCGUGUACUUUAGUGGAUUUCUUGUUCAAUUUUUGGUCGAGAAAAUGGGAAUGAUGGGUUCUCUUCCACAGCCUUAUGGUUAGUAUAACUUUACAUGAUAAAUAUAUGAAGAUAACAAGUAAUCAAGUAUACACCUGAUGACUAUGUUUACUUAAAACCCAUUCUUCCAUGACAUUAAUCUGAUUAACACAAAAAAAAUAUUGAAUCUUCUUCGAUUAAGUUGAAGGCUUGAUUUAUUUGCAGGAUAUUUUGUCCCUGAUAUUGUAGUAGCUGCGGUUAUUGGAGUGGUGACUGGAUUGUGUGUGGGUCCUUUAUUACCUGUUGUUAGUUACUGGCUGUGCAGGCCAUCAAUUCUGAAAUUCUUGCUGCAAUUUACUGUCAUUGCAUUAGCAGUAUCAUCACAGUUUUUUCCUUAUAGCACUGAAGCACCCAAAAGAGUUGUACUUCAACAUACAUUUCGAACCGACAGUAAGUUACAUACCUUAGUACUGAAAGCACUUUUUAUGCAGGCUUUGCGAUUUUGAUUUGUGCACUAACAUUUUUUUGUAAAAAUGCAGAUGCUAAUAGAAUUGUAAAUUCUAGCUAUGAUUUUUCCGUUGUUGAUGCCAAUUCCUUGGAAUUUCUUUUCAAACAUGCACCUGAUGCUUCUAAAAUGCUAGAGAUUUAUCCAAAUUUUUCUCUAAACAAUGUUAUUCGUUCUGAUCGAAGUUCUUCAGUGGUAUGCACAUUUACUUUCAAUGAUAUAAAAAAACUUUAUAUUAUCUGAUUAAGAUUAUUACAAAUUAUUUUUAGGGCCAAUUUAUUUUAUUUAGUUUAUUUUUUCCUCCUUUAUAAUAAUUGAUGAAGCACGAAAUCUGCUACCAGUAGGCUCGCGGGGUCGCGAGGAGGGCCGGAGGCUUUGGAGUCCACGACGCGCGCUCUACGUCAAAUACCUGCAAAAGUGGAGGGGAGUCGGCGACUCAGAUGUGGGAGUCGGCGACUCGGGCUCCUUAGUUCUCUGGUUGGGUGCGUGUCAAGUGGGAAUGACCUGGGAGUAGAGGACCCCCAAGGACCCCUUUUAUAGGGUCCUGGGGGACGUUUCCCCAUUCAUUAACGUGGGGCCCACUCCAUUAUGGCGCCCAAUUAAGGGUGCCAUAAUAACGUGGGCCCUCCCAAGUAACGGCUGGGAAUCGGCGACUCAGGUAUGGGAGUCGUCGAUUCAGAGGUGUGGUCGCCGACUCCCCAUGAGCCAAGUUGGCAGUCUACCAGAACUGACCACGAGGCCUAGAGUCGGCGAUUCACCCCUGGAGUCGGCGACUUGGUAGUCCCAGUCGGCGAUUCCCAAGUGUUGCCUUGAGUACUUGACGUAGACACUUCCUCCGCAUUUGUGGAACUCUCCGGGGGUCCGGCAUAAAACGAUGGAACCCUAAUCCUUGUUGAAGGGCGUUACUGGGAGUGACUGACGUGAUCAGGCAUGUCUCACCAGUACUCCCCCCUAAAGAGAGCACAAGAAACACGCGUGUACCGCCAAUAAUGAUUAUGUAUAAAAGACGAAUAAUUCACUAUGCACUCAUCACAUGACUCAAUAAAGAACAUGGAUUUCUUUAUUCUUCAGAUUGCUAUUAGUGAUAAUGAGAACAUGGAGACUGCUGACAACUAAAUGAUUAAUAUAGGCAUCACAGACGAGGAAAAGAAUUUCCUGAACUUACAAAGGAACCUGCUUGAUUCCCCAAUAUGAUUUGAGAGCUUGGAGGUAAAGGAAGAUACAUUCAUGUGCAUUCGCCAAAGAAACAUAUAUGUAUGGGAAUGGAAAUAUGGUAAACCUUUCUGAGAAAUGGUUUAUGACCUAGUAAGAACAGAUAGAAAUUCAUCAAGUAUAUUCAUGCAUACUAUGCGGCGAGCUAUAGUUUGAGACAGUUGUGUUAAGCUGGGUAACUGGAUAAAUGGUCACUUAUUUUUUUCCUGCAACGUUUCCAAGAUAACAUAGCAGAGAAUGUUGUGUAAGCUAGGUAAUUAGAUCGAUAAUGACGAACACAACAUGAUAUUUCAAAUGCUACUGAUUGAAAUCAGAUUCCUCAGGAAGACUGACUGACUAUAUGGGGAUUGGGAACUAGACUGGAUGGCCUUGGAAGUCUUCAUAUGGUAUAUAUGAAGGGAGAUAUGCAAUAGGAUGCACUGGGAACCUUCUUUUGAUGCCAACUAGCCAUUCAAUCUGGCUUAGAAUGAUUUUCUUGUUGUUUUCAAUCCAACCAAGUACAAAGAAUAUGUAUUUUAACCUAGGGAUUUAGUGGCUCCUGGUUACAGAUGGUAGUUAGAUCCUUCUCACUAAUAUGAGUAUGCAGUGUACACAUAGUGUAGAUGUAAAUUAAGGGUGAGGUAUAGCACUCUUCACUAUGUGUAGAGGAUAUUGUAUAUACCAUUUACUGUCUUUUUUAUUAUUAAAAUGAAAAAUUUACCCUUUGUAAUAAAAAUUAUGUAUAAUUUAAUUCUUAAAGAUAAAUUUUUUUCAGUUUUUUCCCUUCCAUUUUCUGCAGGCACUUUUUCCAAUAUCAUCUCUAUUUUCAACAAGUAUGAAAUUUCCUGUGAAAAAUGUAAAUAUCCUUGACCAUUACCAGUUUACACCUCAGCUAUCCCUUAUUGAAACAGUGAAAUCCUCAAAGACAGGAUCCCGAAAAGUUCACCUAGAACUUUAUCUAGGGUAAGUAAAAACGACGAUGAUUAUCAAGGAUUGAUCAAUUUCAAAACCUAGUUUUUUUAUUUAUUUUACAUGUUUUACCACCUGGUUCCUUUUCAGGUCAUUAAAGGAGGUAUGGGUAGCAGUUUUGAAUAUUACUGGUCCAUUGUCGAACUGGUCUUUUGCCAAUAGUACACUUCCAGGUGAUCUAAGAUAAUCAUCUCCAUUUCCAUUCUGAUACCAACAUUUGAAUUUAUCAUUAAUAUCAAGUUCUUAAUUACUUCCAAACUGCCGACAGCUCCUGAAACAAUAGAUGACGGCCCACCGUCAUAUAUUUGCAGACUCAGUGGUAAUAGUCAUGAGAACUGGAACUUUUGGUUAGAGGUAAACUCCUUUGAUGGUUUGACCUAUCCUCAAAAAAGCACUGCUUAAUUACACGCCUUACACACUCAGAUAAAUUGAUAAUUCUAUAUAUUUAUUGAUUGCACAGGCUAAUCAUUCAAAUGCAUUGCAAAUCGAUGUUGCUGUAAUUGACCAGUAUUUAACUGAUGACACAAAAAACCUAAAGAGUCUAUUCCCAAGAUGGGCAGAUGUUAUUGCAUAUACAAGUUUUCUCUCAAGCUAUUAUUUUUAGCUAAAAUUAGAUUUCUGUAGUGCCAAAAAUCAUUCUAAACUAAAAACUAUUUAUUAAGAUUAUAAAAUAUAUCUCAUUUAUUUUUCUAUUUCACUAUUCUGUAGUGCCAAAAUGAUUCUUGAAAAAAUAUGAAAGACUUUUUUUAUAAUCAAAGCUUCAAUUUCUUUCAUAUGAUCAGCAAUUUUAGUUUUGAAAUCACCAGACCCUAGCCAUAGUACAUUAGUAUUUAUGCCAAGUGAGAUGAAUGUGGCUUGCAGGUUGGAGUUGACCUAUUUGAAAUGAGGUUGAUUUUUUGUUAAGCUUUUAUUUAUUUAUUAAUUAUUGAUCUUAGUAAACUAAUAUAAUUUAGUGACUUCAUCAUUUCCUAUUUAAACUUCAUGUAUGAAUGAAGUUUAUUUAAUUAUAUGUUGAUUAAACUUUAUAUUUCAUAAAUUCAUUAUUUAAUUUCAUAUUUCCCAUCUAUUUUUUAUUUUUCUAUAUAACCCUUUUUUAUCAGAAGAAGGUAAGAAAUUUAUUCUAGAAAGGUAAAAUUCUGAUUUUUUAAAAUAAUUAAAUUUCAUUAAAAGAAAGGCAACGAGACAAAGAUUUACCUCAUUGUUGUUUUUCAGAGCCAUAAGACAUUUAUCUUGUUCAGAGUCAUAAGACAUUUAUCUUGUUCAGAGUCGUAGUCACUCUCCGUCCAUUGUGCCUGAUGUGUUUCUUCUUUAAAUUUUAGCAAAGGACAAUUGGGCUUGAUGUGACCUGUUUUGUUGCAUUUGUAGCAGAUGAUUCUGUCUUUGCUCGAUGACUCUUUCUCAGAUGAGCUCCUCUUUGGACAACUUUGUACUCAGAUCUAGACUUUCUUUCAGAUCUAUGAUUGUGACCUUUUAAUUCUCUCUUUUUCAUAAUGAAGUACCGGAUUUUAUUUGUAAUCAUGACCAGUUCAUCAUCUGAGUACUCACUAUCUGAGUGGCUUCUGAGAGCGAUAUCCAUUUUCUUUUCUGAUUUCUCUUUCGACAAGGAUCUUUUAUUUUCAUAUGCCAUAAGAUUUCCACACAUAUUUACUAUUGUGAGAGUGUUGAUGAUAUUUCUCUUGGAGUAAUAUUUAUCUGACAUUUACUAUUAAGACCCAUAAUUUUUUCCGGAAUAUUACAUUCUUUCCCCCUAAAAACAAGAAUUUUGUCCUCGAAAUAUUAUAAUUAAUCGACGUACCAAAAAGAACUGGAAAUUUUUCCGCAUCUUUUUCUCAUCCUCCCAUGUUGCUUCUUCUGGUCCAUGGUGUUCCCACUGGACCUUCACUAUUUUUACUGUUCUUCCCCGCAACUGUCUUUCUCUAGUUUCCAGGAUCUUAGUGGGUCCCCUCUUCGAAAGAAUGUAAUAUUCCGGAAAAAAUUAGGGGUCUUAAUAGUAAAAGAAAACCCUAAUUACAGGAGCAGAAUUGGGAAAUUUUAGCUAAAAUAGGACAGAACUAGAGCAACUCAGCCUAACCGAUUGGGUUAAGGUCAAUUAGGCUAGGCCUAAUUAAAUUUAAUAAGUAAUUAGGUUAGUCAAGUAUGGGCGAGGCCUAAGUGGGGCUGAACUUAAGUAAAUAAAAUCUAGUGGACCUAUUCGAAUUGGGCUGAAUCUAAAUGGUUUAAUUAAAUAAGAAAAUAAAUAAGAUUUCAGCGUAAGGGUAAAUUAGUCAAUUAGAUUAAGAAAACGUUUUUUUUUUAAAUAUAAGGGCAAUAAAGUCAAAAGAAUAUUCUUAAGGAAGGAAACAUUUUUAAAAUAGGGGCAAAUGGGUCAAAAGAAUCAAUUAAAGAGGAUAUUCUUAAUUGAUUGGGGAAAAUAUAAAGGAAAGAUUUAGACGAAAUUGAGGAGGGAGUUAAAUCUUUAAAUAAGAGGAAUUAAAAAUAGAAAAGGGGGGACGAAAAUUUGAAGGAAGAGGAAGGACUCAACUAGGACUUGCAAGUGUUAGAAGAAAAACUAAGAGGAGAUCAAGGUACGCGGAUAUAUUCAAUCCUUCUACUAGAAUAAUUUUAGUAUGAAGUAUUGUUAUUAAAAAUGAAAUGAAAUUAUGUAAGGAUAUGAAUGAUUUUUGGUUUACGGAUUGUAUCUCCAUUGGAGGAUUUGAGGCUUGUUUUCGUACAACAAAGUUGUUGUUCGAUUGUUUUUUUUUGGUUCAAGGGAAGUUCAAGUUUUCUUCUUUUCUUUCUUCGGUUUGUUUUCUGUUUUUAUAUUUUAUAUUUUCUGUUUUCUGUUUUUCCUGUUCCUGUUUUUCUUUUUUUCCUUCUUCUGAUUUUCUGAUUUUGUCUUCUGAUUUUCUGCCUGAUAUUUCAGUAUCAUUGCUAGAUAAUCUCUGGAGUUUUGGUUUCUGAUUUUUGUUCUUUAAAUUAAUUUACUGGACAGCAAAAAAAUCCUUAUGAACACGGGACUAUAAUCGUGGAUUGGACUCCACAAGGUCUCCAAGUUCAGGAUUUGCGCUGCCCUAGGGCUAGAAGCUCACGUUUAAGCCUUAGACACCCAAAUGAGACACCCACAUGGUUGAUUUUAAUCAAUAAAAUCAAGAGAAGGGUCUAAAUAAUUGGGUUGGUUGUUGAGGUUAAGCCUCAACUCUAUAGACCUACCGCCUAUUCCAGGGUAGUGGUCGAGUAAAUUUAAAGGUUUGUGUUUCGUUUUCAAAGUUUGAGUUAACGAACGAGAGGUAAAUUAAACUAAAACCUAGUCGAUUUAAAAGUUCGAUUUUUACUAAUGCAAACCGUUUCAUUACUCGAGGAUUUAAAUGACAUUUCGGGUUUUAUUUCAACGUUAUGUUUUCUUUGGAUCUAAUAACGAAAAGUGUAAAAGGGAAAUCAACGAGACCUAAGGAACUCUAACCUUAAAAUUUAGGAAUGGACAACGAAAGGGGCGGGUCGAGCUAGUUCUUGGAAUGGUACUCGACCCGAACUAUUCCCAUCCACCAUCGGGUUAAAUCCUAAAGGAACCCAAACCUUGAAGUUAAGGAUUUAGAGGUGAACGACGAAAGGAGAAGAUCAAGCAAGUCCCCGGGGUGACACUCAAUCUAACCUCCUCUCUAUUCACCGAAGAUCCACCAAGGUUACGGACCAAGAUUUGGAUUGAGUGGAACACUCAAUCUCUCCUCACUCAUGCCCAAUCAUACGAAUUUACGGAUCCUUAGGGAUUUAACGACACAUGAAAUGAACGGAACUUAACGGGCCUGACGAUGCUACAUGACCCGACAGGGUUUGACGGCAUAGCGAGGGUUUGCUCGAUGACCCAUGUAAAGGAAAAAAUGGGGUUCAUAAGAACCUUUAUCGGUAACCAAGGAGGGCUAAUAUGCCCUAAAGAAAUUCAUGAACUAUAAGAUUGAUUAUAUAUUCACGUACUAAGUUUUUGAAACUUACCCAUGUAAAUGACAAUUUUAUUGCAGAAUAAGGGACGGCUUGGAAUGGACUGGACAGAGGGUUUCACACAUGAAUGAGAUCCUAGGUGAUAGUACAGGGUCCGACACACAGACCAUAGUACUAAAAGACGUAUCCCAAAGUAUCUAAUACGCAGAGGAGGGGGGAGUACUGGUGAUACAGUAUCCCGAACACGGUCAUAACCUACCAGCAACUAGAAGUCCGGAUAGCCUAAGAUGAGUUGAGGUAUCUAUUCUAGGGUUAUGGAGGUCCCAGGUCGAAUCCUAGGAAGAUCGACUUUCCUGAGGAUCGACUUCCCUGGGAUCGACUUUUGAGUAAAGUCGAUCACCAGGAAAAGUCGACCCCCAGAAAGUCGAUCUCUGGAAAGUCGACCCCUGGACCCAAUCUGAUCAGUUAGGCAGUUAGGCGGUUACUGCCCAAAUGACCAGAUUGACCCCAUAAAAACCCCUAUAAAUAGAGGGCACCCCUCACUCAUUAAAGGCAGGUCAUUUGGAGAAGAAGAAUUCCUAGCGAAGCAGAGCUCUGCACACUUGAGUUCCGGUCCGGUUUCCCGCGGAGUUCCCCGCUUGGCGCUUACUUGCGCGUCUUGGAGUACUGGUCGGGUUUCACCCCCAUCAGUUGGCGCCGUCUGUGAUUCAAAGAUACUCACGACAAAAGCUCCUCGACUUUUUCGAAAAAAGGGAUCGACUUUUUUCCAAGUCGCCAGCUAGGAAGUUUUGCGAGGAAAUCAGCCAGCAAGGGAUCGACAUUUCAGGAGAUCGACUUUUUCUUCCAAAGAAAAGUCGACCCCUCAAGGAGCUAGGCUUUCAGACAUCGACUUCCAAGGAAUCCUCCAAGUGCACUAGGAAUCGACUUUUUGAAGAUCGACUUUUCCCUCCAAGCAAAAGUCGAACACUCCUUCUAAGAAAAGUCGAACACUCCAGGAUGGUGGUAACUCGAAGCACUUCCCAAGGAGGAGGAGCAAAUUCUCAGGAGGCGCCAGAGCAACAACCUGGCAAUUCAAAAACUAAAAGGCCAGUGGGUCGACCACCUAAGGCCAAUAAAAACAAAAGGACUCCCACAGGACCUGAGACUGAACCCGAAGGUGAACCUGAGCAAUCUCCCCAAGCGUCAGCAGGAGGGGAAAAUCAGAACAUCACAGUUCAGGCGAUAGCAUCCGACUCCUUGCUGAAAAGGAGAAACCUUCGGAAGAACAACCUCAGAUGGGGGGAUCCACAAGCAGCAAGGGACCAAGGGCUGCUACAUCAGAAUCCACUCAUGGGUUCAUAAAAGUGCCCAUAGAAGAGCUGGAGAAAAUGAAGGAUACCAUAGCAAAAAUGAGCGAAAAGAUAAAGGAUAUUGAAAAGUCUAAAGCAUCAAUAUACCAUUCAAAAGCUCAAACCUCAAAGCAGGUCAAGUCAUAGGGCAGCACACUCAAGUGCGCCACUAUUUCACAAACCACCUCGCAAACCAGAGGAACAACCCAAACCUUUUUUCCGAAAAAAGUACGGGGGACACAGAAGAAGGAGGCGAGGUCCCAAACUGGCUGGUAGGCAUGGAUGCUUUGCACAAAUCUCUAAUGGUAAAACCAGCACCUCUGAAGUUCAGGCUACCCAGGCUCCAGGUUUAUGAUGGAAAGAUGGACCCAGCGGACCAUAUAAACAUGUUCGUAGGGGCAAUGCAGUGGGCUACAUCAAGGGAUGACAUUCUCUGUAGAGCAUUCCCAGGAACAUUAAAAGGACCCACAUACAGAUGGUUCGUCGAACUUCAGCCAGGGAGCAUAACGAAUUUCGAGGACUUGAAAAAGAAGUUCGUCGCCCAACAUUGUGGAAACACAAGGGUUAGAAAGGGCACAGAAUCACUGUUCGCAAUUAAGCAGAAUGGAGAUACGCUCCGGAAUUAUACAACUAAAUUCACGGAAGCCAUGCAGAAAAUCUCCGAUCUGAACACAACAAUCGCAAUAUGCGCAUAUUCGAAAGGGCUAGACAUGAACACGCCGUUAGCAAUAAAGCUAAACGUAAGUAAUGUAAAAUGCAUGGAGGACCUGCUGACAAAGGCCCAAAAAUACAUAAACUCUGAGGAGUAUGAGAAAGAAAAAGAGAAAGGUGCCAUGAGCAACAAAAAAGCAUAUGAAGCACCAAAGAGAAAAUUCCAAAAAUUCAAAAAAGGAGAAUCAUCCUGGAGACCAAAACACGACGGAAAGGUCUACCAAACAUCUGAGGAGUUCGGGAAAUCAAGAUAUCCAAAGUACAAAGACUUGGGAUUUACGGUUUUCAGCACUCCAAAAGAGGAAAUCUAUAAUAAAGAAAAAGGAAGAAUAAGGUUUCCUCAACCAGAAGAGUUGAACCCUGCAACGAAAGAGGCUCGAACAAGGAGGAACAGGUAUUGCAAGUUCCACAAAGAUUACGGGCACAACACGGAAAACUGCAGGGAGCUGAGCACCUUCCUAGAUACACAAGUAAAGGAAGGAAAGCUAAGGCAAUAUAUAAAUAAAGUAGAAAGGGGGCGACAAGGCUGCAAGGACCCAAAGAACAAGGGUAAGCGCCAACGCUCAAGGAGUCCAGAUUCAGACACUGACCACAAAAGAAGAGUAAUUAACUUAAUCUUCGGUGGAGGAUCGGUAGGAGAAAGCAGAAGUUACUCGCGCAAAGUAAUGCAGACAACAGCGGUACCAAAAUCUAAAAAGAGAUCGUACCCAAGCGAGGAAAUAAGCUUCUCUGAGGAAGAUCUGGACAACGUGGUCAGCCCGCACGAGGAUCCACUAGUAAUACAAGUGGAUAUAGGGGAUGACUUAAGUCUGAACAAAGUAAUGGUGGACAACGGCAGCUCGGUAGAUAUAUUAUACCUAGCGGCGUUCGAAAAAAUGGGUUACAAAGUGGAUCAGUUAACCCCGGCCAAGGAAGCCAUCUAUGGGUUUACAAACACAAAGGCCCCAGUAGUAGGAGCCAUCGAUCUACAGAUAUCCCUGGGAAAAAGGAACGGGAGAGUAUCACGCACAGCACAUUUCACUUCAUUGUGGUCAACAUAGACUCUCCGUUCAAUGGGAUCUUGGGCAGACCAAGCAUUCACGGUUUCAUCAUCUUACCAUCAAUGCUUCAGGUACCCAGGAAAGGAUGGCAGAAUGGCAACAGUUUUUGGAGCACAGAAAGACUCCAGAAAUUCAUACAGGAAGGCAACUAAAAUAGCUAAACCUGUAACCCUAUACAUUCAAGAAAGAGAGGAGGAAGAAGACACAACCUCAUCUAAUUAAGUUGAGGAAGUCAAACUCUCAAAAGGAGGAGUCCUGAUGGGGACAUCUUUAUCCUCCGAGUUAAAAAAUUCACUACUGCAGCUAUUAGAAACUCAUGUGCACACGUUCGUAUGGGAAGGGGAGGCACCCUCACAGGUACAACGUACUAUAACAUGCCAUGAGCUCAACAUAGACAGCAGCUUUACUCCUAUACGGCAGAAGCGGAGAAUACUCGCAGCUGAAAGAAAGGAGGCAGCACAGGCUGAAAUUGAUAAGUUAAUCAAAGCUGGGCACAUCCGGGAAGUCAAAUAUCCAAAGUGGUUAGCAAACCCAGUUAUGGUCAAAAAAUCUAACGGAAAGUGGAGGAUGUGUGUAGACUUCACAGAUCUCAACAAAGCAUGUCCAAAAGACAGCUACCCACUCCCAUCCAUCGACAGAUUAGUGGAUGCAGCAUCAGGAAAUGAGUUACUAUCCAUGAUGGAUGCACAUUCAGGGUAUAAUCAGAUCUUGAAAGAAGAUGAUGAGGAGGCCACAUCAUUCAUCACAGAAUGGGGGACAUAUUGCUACAAAGUCAUGCCUUUUGGCCUACGAAAUGCAGGAGCAACCUUCCAAAGGCUAAUGGACAAGGUAUUCAAAAAGCAGGAAGGAAGAAAUGUCCUGGCAUAUGUAGAUGACAUUCUGGUGAAAUCCAAAAAAGCAGAUGAACACCCAAAUGAUCUGAAAGAAACCCUUGAAACUCUGCGGAAUUAUGGGAUGAGGUUAAACCCUGCCAAAUGCAGCUUCGGAGUACAAGAAGGAAAGUUUCUUGGAUUCUAUGUAGGGCAGAAAGGGAUAAAGCCAAACCCAGAUAAAAUAGCAGCGAUACUGGAAACAGCACCACCUCGAACAAUAAAGGAGGUACAAAAGCUGAAUGGAAAAAUCAAUGCCUUAAGUCGAUUUAUUUCCAAAACAGCAGAAAAAUGCAAACCCUUUUUCCAGCUACUAAAAACUAGUCAAAAAGGGGCAAUAACAUGGACUACAGAGUGUGACGAGGCUUUCAACAGCUCAAGGCACAUCUGGCUUCUCUACCACACCUAACUUCGCCAAAAGUUGGGGAGGAAUUAUACGUCUACGUAGCAGCUUCAGAAGAGGCUAUCAGUGCAGUUCUAAUAUGUCAAAGGGACAGUGAACAGAUCCCGAUAUAUUAUCACUCAAAAAGGCUACAAGGGGCAGAAACAAGAUAUCCUCCAGUGGAAAAGAUAGUCCUGGCAGUAGUACAUGCAGCACGCAGAUUCAGAGCAUACUUCCUGGCUCAUACAAUCAAAGUCUUAACAGAACAUCUGCUGCGCAGAAUCCUCCACAGGCCAGAUACUUCCGGAAGAUUAACGAAGUGGGCACUGGAGUUAAGCGAGUUCGAUGUAGAUUUUGUUCCUGCCACAGCCAUUAAAGGGCAAGCAGUUGCAGACUUUAUUGUAGACAUGACCCAGGAAAGCAAAGAAAAACCUUGGGUAGUAGAGGUUGAUGGCUCAAGCUGCAGUACAAGUGCAGGGGUGGGAAUAAAGAUAAUCACUCCAGACCAACGAAUAUAUGAACAUUCCAUCAGAUUACAGUUCUCAGCUACGAAUAAUAUAGCAGAAUACGAAGCUGUGAUCCAAGGAAUGAAAAUCCUCAGAAGGUUAGGAGCCUGUUCGGUAAUUAUUAGAACAGAUUCUCAAUUAGUGGCUCAACAAUUCACAGGAGAGUUCACUGUCAAAGAACCUCUAAUUGUACAGUACGCAGCCACACUGGAAAAAAUUAAAGAACAAUUUACUAAGGUUGAAGUAAAACAGAUACCAAGGAGUCAAAAUAACUCAGCUGAUGCCCUAGCAAAGCUAGCUUCUGCUUUCGAGGGGGGGCAGAGAGAGAUACUAGUUGACUCAGCAUCUACACCUUCUUGUAACUUAGUCACGAUCCAGGCAGAAGACUGGAGGAAGCCCUUGAUAGAAUACUUCGAGGGACAGAAACUUCCUGAAAAUAAAAAUGAAAGACGCAAGUUACAAACACGCGUUUCAAGAUUCUGCCUAAUCGGUGAUAUUCUGUAUAAGAAAUCCUACGACGGACCUCUAAUGAAAUGUGUCUCAACAGAAGAAGGACAAUUCAUUGUAGAGGAGAUUCAUCAAGGAGUAUACGGAAUACAUCAAGGGGGAAGAUCUUUGGCCCAAAGAAUAAUAAGGCAAGGAUACUUCUGGCCCACACUGAAAAAAGAUGCAGUCCUAUUUGCAAGAAAAUGCAAGGCCUGUCAAAUACACAAG